Molecule: microRNA precursor, 84 nt
Organism: Electrophorus electricus (electric eel)
Lineage: Eukaryota; Metazoa; Chordata; Actinopteri; Gymnotiformes; Gymnotidae
Source: Ensembl
UGGUACACUCUUCCUAAACUGGCAAGUAGGAAACAUUUGUGUAUAUAUAUAACUGUUUCAUACUCGCCAGUUUAGGAAGAGUGU